Molecule: long non-coding RNA, 386 nt
Filed under: Lathyrus oleraceus (garden pea)
Lineage: Eukaryota; Viridiplantae; Streptophyta; Magnoliopsida; Fabales; Fabaceae
Description: Pisum sativum (pea) long non-coding RNA (PSAT_LNC036934)
Source: RNAcentral
CAAUAACAACAUACAAUAAUAAAAGAGAAAUGAAUAGGUUUGAAAAAAGUUGUUUUUGUAAACAAAUAUAAAAAUUGAUAUCAUUCUUUUCCUGGAAAAUGGACAAACGUGAAAAGUCAAGAGAAAUCUUCUUCUUAUCCAAUUCCAAGUAACAACCCAAGAGCAUAAAACAAGGUCAUACAAAUGCACCAUACAAUGGUUUAACAACUUACCUAAACAAAUUAAUUUGGAAAUGCUUAAUAAAUGGAAAACAAAACCAAUUAUUUCAGCAUAUCUUAAACACAUAAUGAACAAGCAGUUAAAUAACAGGGGUGGUGAAAAAAAGUUAAUACCAUAUUGAGUCAGCAAACUGUUUCCUUGAUGAGUGUAGUGACUUUACCUGCUCU